RNAcentral lists this small RNA (107 nucleotides) under Marmota monax (woodchuck). The record is from RNAcentral. Lineage: Eukaryota; Metazoa; Chordata; Mammalia; Rodentia; Sciuridae.
GCUGGGCAUGGUGGCACAUGCCUAUAAUUCCAGUGACUCAGGAGGCUGAGGCAGAAGCAUCACAAGUUCAAGGACAGCCUGGGCAGCUUAGUGAGAUUCUGUCUCAA